This is a long non-coding RNA of Thalassophryne amazonica, 229 nucleotides long. RefSeq lists it as uncharacterized. The transcript has 3 exons. NCBI's taxonomy places the organism in Eukaryota, Metazoa, Chordata, Actinopteri, Batrachoidiformes, Batrachoididae. The record is from RefSeq and is a predicted model, not a curated record.
CCGCCUGGGUGCCCUCUCACUUCGGAAGGAAGGGGAGAGGCAGUGCUUCCUGUUUACCAAACACUUCCUCAUCUGUACUCGCACAUCUGGAAGAAAACUUCACUUGCUCAAGCAAGGCGGAACCCUGUCUCUAAUCGAGUGCACCCUCAUUGAAGAACUGGAGACCGGCGAUGAGGACUACAAUGCUGCAGGUCAAGGUUUCAACCAUCUGGAGUUUAAAAUAGUGGUU